CCUACGGGCGGCUGCAGUGAGGAAUAUUGGUCAAUGGGCGCGAGCCUGAACCAGCCAAGUCGCGUGAGGGAGGACGGCCCUACGGGUUGUAAACCUCUUUUGCCGGGGAGCAACGGGCGCCACGUGUGGCUUCUCUGAGAGUACCCGGAGAAAAAGCCUCGGCUAACUCCUUGCCAGCAGCCGCGGUAAUACGGAGGAUGCGAGCGUUAUCCGGAUUUAUUGGGUUUAAAGGGUGCGUAGGCGGACCGUUAAGUCAGUGGUAAAAUUGAGGGGCUCAACCCCUUCCCGCCAUUGAAACUGGCGUUCUUGAGUGGAAGAGAAGUAGGCGGAAUGCGUGGUGUAGCGGUGAAAUGCAUAGAUAUCACGCAGAACCCCGAUUGCGAAGGCAGCAUGCCGGCGUCCGACUGACGCUGAAGCACGAAAGCGUGGGGAUCGGACAGGAUUAGAUACCCGUGUAGUC
RNAcentral lists this ribosomal RNA (460 nucleotides) under uncultured bacterium. RNAcentral's name for it is "partial 16S ribosomal RNA". It matches the Rfam family "Bacterial small subunit ribosomal RNA", at positions 338 to 795 of the family's 1533-position model. The record is from RNAcentral.